This 406-nucleotide ribosomal RNA is filed under the name uncultured bacterium. RNAcentral's name for it is "partial 16S ribosomal RNA". It matches the Rfam family "Bacterial small subunit ribosomal RNA", at positions 30 to 526 of the family's 1533-position model. The record is from RNAcentral.
AUUGAACGCUGGCGGCAGGCUUAACACAUGCAAGUCGAGCGAGCGGCGGACGGGUGAGUAAGUUCUGGAAAACGGACUGAUGGAGGGGGAUAACUACUGGAAACGGUAGCUAAUACCGCAUACCAUCGGAUGUCCCCAGAUGGGAUUGGCUAGUAGGUGGGUUAAUGGCUCACAUAGGCGACGAUCCCUAGCUGGUCUGAGAGGAUGACCAGCCAGACUGGAACUGAGACACGGUCCAGACUCCUACGGGAGGCAGCAGUGGGGAAUAUUGCACAAUGGGCGCAAGCCUGAUGCAGCCAUGCCGCGUGUAUGAAGAAGGCCUUAGGGUUGUAAAGUACUUUCAGCGGGGAGGCGUUACCCGCAGAAGAAGCACCGGCUAACUCCGUGCCAGCCGCCGCGGUAAUUC